AAAAAAAAAAACGAAAAAAAAAGAAGCGAGGAACAAAAAAGUGCAAAAUUCUUUUUUUUUUAUAUAUAUAUAAAUUAAACCCUACACAAAUUAUCUAUCGUACAAUAAACUCUUUUUCUUUUCGCGCUUUCUUUUUUUUUUAUUUUUCUCUCCAUCAAAAAAAUAAUCCACCUAAAAUUCUUUUGCAAAAUCCUCUGCUCAAAACUUCAAACGAAAUAUAAAAAAAAAGAAUAAGAAAGAAAGAAAAAAUUCUGUGUAUUGUUCCACCUGAGAGAAAAAAGAAAGAAACCCAAAAAAAAAAAGAGUGAAUAAAACGUCCAAAAAAAUACGAACAAAAUAUAAUUUCACCUGAACAAAAAAAAAGACAAAUAUAUAAAAAAAAAACUUCUUCAAUAAAUUGACAGUGAAAAUAUUCAAAGGAUUUGUUUCGCUUUUUUUUCUGCAUUCUCGUUGUUGGUUUGCAUUGCAUUUGUGUGUUGUGUAUGUGGCAGUUUUUUUUCUCUUUAUUUUUUUUUUAUGAUUUUUUGCAAAAAAAAGAGAUUGAAUUCUUGUGCAACUUUGGAAAUCUAGUUGUUUUUUUGUUGCCUCAUUAAUUUCGCAAUAUAUUUUCUAUAGUCGAGAGAAACAAGAGCGACGACUUCCGAGAAAAAUAAAAAAAAAAACAACUUCCUGUGUAUUUGUGUUCAGUUUUCUGCCCCUCCUCCUCUUCACCCCCUUCGGGAAGAACCCCCUCCUCUCUGUGACAUUGGUUUUUUUUUUUUAAAUUCCUUCUCGGUGUCAGUCAGAAUUGUUGUUGUUGUCGCGCGAGUAGAUAGUAAAUAAUAAAUAUGUCCUCGUCGUCGACAAAUUCUCCCGCCUCCGCCACAAAAGGAGGUGUAACAGCUGGCGAUGAUCCAGCUACCAUCGAAGAACUACGUUUAGAAAUCGAACGUUUGUCCAGAGAGCUAGAUCAAGCUAGCAGUGAGAAAAUACAAUCCGCCCAAUUCGGUUUGGUGCUGCUCGACGAGAAGAGUUUGCUCCAACACAAAUGCGAGGAAUUAGAAACUUUGUAUGAGAAUACAAAGCAUGAUUUGGAUAUUACACAGGAGGCCCUUGCAAAAUUCCAGACGUCACAAAAAGUCACAACAAAAACCGGCAUCGAACAAGAAGAAACACUUCUAAAUGAAUCUGCCGCCAUCGAAACAUCACUUAAUUUACAAAUUUUAGAUUUGGAAAAUGAAGUCAAACAGCUGCGUCAUGAGCUGGAGCGUGUGCGUAAUGAACGGGAUCGUAUGUUGCAAGAAAAUUCCGACAUUGGUCGUGAUAAGUCUGAUAAUGAAGCUGAAAAAAUUAGACUUAAAGCUGAGCUGAAAGAAUUGAAAUUCCGUGAGACCCGCAUGUUAACUGAAUAUUCAGAAUUGGAAGAAGAAAACAUAUCGCUGCAAAAGCAAGUGUCCAGUUUAAGGAGUUCACAAGUUGAAUUUGAAGGUGCCAAACAUGAAAUCCGAAGGCUCACUGAAGAAUUGGAGCUUCUCAAUAAUCAAGUCGAUGAAUUGGCUAAUCUUAAAAAGAUUGCGGAGAAGCAAAUGGAAGAAGCCUUGGAAGCUUUACAAGGUGAAAGGGAAGCAAAAUAUGCUUUAAAGAAAGAACUCGACGGACAUAUCAACCGAGAGUCUAUGUACCACAUAAGCAACUUGGCCUACAGCAUCCGUUCCAUUGAUGAAAACGCUGGCGGAAACAGCGACGGAGAAGAAGAAAAUUUAGCCCUAAAACGUCUAGAAGCCGAUCUAACAACCGAACUGAAAUCCCCCGAUGGCACAAAAGUCGAUCUUUUCUCAGAAAUCCAUCUAAACGAGCUGAAAAAACUGGAAAAACAAUUGGAGUCAAUGGAAAACGAAAAGGCCCACAUGACAUCGAACCUGCGCGAAGCUCAAACAAAUCUGGAUAAGAGUCAAAAUGAAUUGCAAAACUUUAUGUCCCGACUGGCAUUGCUGGCAGCGCAUGUCGACGCCCUAACCCAUUUGAAAAAACAAAUCGACACUAAGGACGAAGCAAAACUAACGACUUUGGUCAAAAACAGUAAAGACAAGAACGAUGAAUUGAAUUUGAAUCAAAAGUUGCGUGAUGUCCUGACGCAAUAUGCUAAUUGGUUCACCCUCAGUUCCAAGGAGAUCGAUGGCUUAAAGACUGAUAUUAGUGAGUUGCAAAAGGGUUUGAAUUACUCUGAUGCUAUGGUAACACUGCGCAAUGAGAUAACAAAUUUGAAGAACAAGCUGUUAUCGACGGAACAAAAGUCACUGGAUCUGCAAAGUGAUGUGCAAACUUUGACACACAUCUCACAGAAUGCUGGACAAAGUUUGGGUUCAGCUAGGUCGACAUUGGUGGCGUUAAGUGACGAUUUGGCACAAUUGUAUCAUCUAGUCUGUACUGUGAAUGGUGAAACGCCAACACGUGUGCUAUUGGAUCAUAAGAAUGAUGACAUGAGUUUUGAGAAUGAUUCACUCACCGCCAUUCAGUCACAAUUCAAAUCGGACGUGUUCCUAUCAAGAUCCCAGAUAGUUGAAGACCUCCAAGGCUUGGCUGAUUCAGUGGAAAUCAAAAAAUACGUUGAUACAGUCAACGAUCAAAUAAAAUACCUUAAGACCGCUGUGGAACACACAAUCGAUCUUAAUAAAAACAAAGUUAGAGGCGAUGUCAGUGAGGACAAAUUCAAUCGCGAAGAAAUCGAAGAGCUGCAAGAGCAAAUUAUUAAGCUCAAGAGCCUGUUGUCAACGAAGCGCGAACAAAUCGCAACCCUGCGCACAGUACUCAAGUCCAAUAAGCAAACUGCCGAAGUUGCACUCACCAAUCUUAAGUCAAAGUAUGAGAAUGAGAAGUUAGUUGUGAGUGAUACAAUGUCUAAAUUGAGGAAUGAACUGAAGAUUCUUAAAGAAGAUGCAGCUACAUUCUCAAGUCUUCGAGCAAUGUUUGCAGCUCGUUGUGAAGAAUAUGUUACACAAGUCGAUGAUUUGAAUCGUCAAUUGGAAGCUGCUGAAGAGGAAAAGAAGACCCUCAAUCAGUUAUUAAGACUCGCUGUGCAACAAAAAUUAACGCUGACACAACGUUUGGAGGAGAUGGAAAUGGAUCGGUGGGUUAAUUAUCGUCGUUAGCAAACGAACUUUAAUAGAUCAGAGUAGUAAAAGUUUUUGAUUUUGUGAGAGAAAGUGAUUUAGAAGAGCAACACACACAAAAAUAAGCCCGAGAAUGAGAUUUAUUUUUGAAAUUUAAUUUUCGUUUUUGGAUUUAAUUUAAUAAUCAUGAGUCGAUAUUCCCUUACAAAAAAAAUUAAACAAAUUUAUUGUGAAAUGCGACAUGUUCGCCGACCAAUGCUGACACCUCGCGGUGCUAGUGGAAAAUCAUCAUUUUCCCGACCAUCACCACGAAAUCCUUCAGCAAAUAAUCAGAAUCCCUUCUAACAUAAAAUCAGCGUGCAGCGUAAACUUUUAGCCUUAGUUUAUACUUUACUUAAGUUAUAAAAUGUUUGUUAAUUUUAUUUAUACUUCCUUACAAGCAAACAACAAACAAAAAAAAAAACUUAUACAUACAAUACAUACAUCGUUAUUUACUAAAAUAUUUCUACAAAAAUGAAGUCAAGCUAGUUUGGAGAGAUUGCGAAUUCGUUCCUAAUUAUGCCACAACGUCCAAUUUAUUUUUCCAUUCAAACAAAACAAACACAAUGAAUGAAAUAAAAAACAAAAAUGUGGCACUAUUAUUUAUGUAAAAUGGAACGCAAUCAAGUACCUUUACUUUGUUAUUCUCUCCACUUUAGUGCACUAAAAAUGGUUAAAGUUUUUAUUAUUAAUAUUAUUAUGAUCAGUAUAAACGGUACGUUACUUAGUAUUUCAAUUUAAGAUUAGGAAAAAAGAAAAAAAUGUUUAUGUUUUAUUAAUUUGUUUAUUAUUAAUUUUUUAUAUGAAAAGAAGAAAAAAAAGAUUUAAUUUUGUUCUAUUGGUGUUUUUUUUUUUAAGAAAAAAAAUAAGCUGUACGCAAAAAACAGAAAUUCAGUAAACAUAUAUUCAACUAUUUUUAUUAUCAUCAUGUAAUUAUGUAAUUUUUUUGGUUUUUAUAAAAUUUUGAAGAAAAAAAAAAAAAAAUGAAGAA
Molecule: RNA transcript, 4119 nt
Organism: Episyrphus balteatus (marmalade hoverfly)
Lineage: Eukaryota; Metazoa; Arthropoda; Insecta; Diptera; Syrphidae
Gene: BicD
Gene name: protein bicaudal D
Exons: 8
Source: RefSeq, a predicted model, not a curated record